GCAGCAGUGGUUCAGUGGUAGAAUUCUCGCCUUCCACGCGGGAGACCUGGGUUCGGUUCCCAGCCAAUGCA
This 71-nucleotide transfer RNA is filed under the name Loxodonta africana (African savanna elephant). It matches the Rfam family "tRNA". From Rfam's summary of the family: Transfer RNA (tRNA) molecules are approximately 80 nucleotides in length. Lineage: Eukaryota; Metazoa; Chordata; Mammalia; Proboscidea; Elephantidae. The record is from Rfam by way of RNAcentral.